This 642-nucleotide ribosomal RNA is filed under the name Ovis aries (sheep). Its description in RNAcentral is "partial small subunit ribosomal RNA". It matches the Rfam family "Bacterial small subunit ribosomal RNA", at positions 263 to 1225 of the family's 1533-position model. The record is from RNAcentral. Lineage: Eukaryota; Metazoa; Chordata; Mammalia; Artiodactyla; Bovidae.
GCCCUUCGAAUCACACAGGACUAAAAGGAGCAGGUAUCAAGCACACACUCUUGUAGCUCACAACGCCUUGCUUAACCACACCCCCACGGGAGACAGCAGUAACAAAAAUUAAGCCAUAAACGAAAGUUUGACUAAGUCAUAUUGACCAGGGUUGGUAAAUCUCGUGCCAGCCACCGCGGUCAUACGAUUGACCCAAGCUAACAGGAGUACGGCGUAAAGCGUGUUAAAGCAUCAUACUAAAUAGAGUUAAAUUUUAAUUAAACUGUAAAAAGCCAUAAUUAUAACAAAAAUAAAUGACGAAAGUAACCCUACAAUAGCUGAUACACCAUAGCUAAGACCCAAACUGGGAUUAGAUACCCCACUAUGCUUAGCCCUAAACACAAAUAAUUAUAAAAACAAAAUUAUUCGCCAGAGUACUACCGGCAACAGCCCGAAACUCAAAGGACUUGGCGGUGCUUUAUACCCUUCUAGAGGAGCCUGUUCUAUAAUCGAUAAACCCCGAUAAACCUCACCAAUCCUUGCUAAUACAGUCUAUAUACCGCCAUCUUCAGCAAACCCUAAAAAAGGGACAAAAGUUAGCUCAAUAAUAACACAUAAAGACGUUAGGUCAAGGUGUAACCUAUGGAGUGGGAAGAAAUGGGC